CAGCGCCACGAGUGGUAACCACGUUUAUUGGGCCUAAAGCGUCCGUAGCCGGUUUGAUAAAUCUUUUGUGAAAUUGUACAGCUUAACUGUACAGCGUGCAAGAGACACUGUCAAACUUGAGACCGGGAGGAGUCAGAAGUAUUCCAGAGGGAGCGGUAAAAUGUUAUAAUCUCUGGAGGACUACCUGUGGCGAAGGCGUCUGACCAGAACGGAUCUGACGGUGAGGGACGAAAGCUAGGGGAGCGAACAGGAUUAGAUACCCUGGUAGUCC
RNAcentral lists this ribosomal RNA (271 nucleotides) under uncultured archaeon. Its description in RNAcentral is "partial 16S ribosomal RNA". It matches the Rfam family "Archaeal small subunit ribosomal RNA", at positions 477 to 747 of the family's 1478-position model. The record is from RNAcentral.